GACGAACGCUGGCGGUGUGCUUAACACAUGCCAGUCGAACGGUAAGGCCCUUUCGGGGGUACACGAGUGGCGAGCGGGUGAGUAACACGUGAGUAACCUGCCCUCAUCUCUGGGAUAACAGUCGGAAACGGUUGCUAAUACUGGAUAUGAGCUUGCAAGGCAUCUUGUGGGUUGGAAAGAUUUUUUUUGGUUGGGGAUGGACUCGCGGCCUAUCAGCUUGUUGGUGAGGUAGUGGCUCACCAAGGCUUCGACGGGUAGCCGGCCUGAGAGGGCGACCGGCCACAUUGGGACUGAGAUACGGCCCAAACUCCUACGGGAGGCAGCAGUGGGGAAUAUUGCACAAUGGACGGAAGUCUGAUGCAGCAACGCCGCGUGCGGGAUGACGGCCUUCGGGUUGUAAACCGCUUUCAAUUGUGACGAAGCUUUUUUGUGACGGUAGCAGUAGAAGAAGCACCGGCUAACUACGUG
This 468-nucleotide ribosomal RNA is filed under the name uncultured bacterium. RNAcentral's name for it is "partial 16S ribosomal RNA". It matches the Rfam family "Bacterial small subunit ribosomal RNA", at positions 28 to 507 of the family's 1533-position model. The record is from RNAcentral.